This 427-nucleotide ribosomal RNA is filed under the name uncultured bacterium. RNAcentral's name for it is "bacterial SSU rRNA". It matches the Rfam family "Bacterial small subunit ribosomal RNA", at positions 32 to 451 of the family's 1533-position model. The record is from RNAcentral.
AAUCAACGCUGGCGGCGUGCCUCAGACAUGCAAGUCGAACGAUUAAAGCUCUCUUCGGAGAGUGUAUAGAGUGGCGCACGGGUGAGUAACACGUAAGUAAUCUACCCUCGAGUGGGGAAUAACAACCGGAAACGGUUGCUAAUACCGCAUAAUGCAGCGGCACCGCAAGGUGACAGUUGUUAAAGAUUUAUCGCUUGAGGAGGAGCUUGCGGCAGAUUAGCUAGUUGGUAGGGUAACGGCUUACCAAGGCUACGAUCUGUAACCGGUCUAAGAGGACGGUCGGUCACACUGACACUGAAUAAACGGGUCAGACUCCUACGGGAGGCAGCAGUCGGGAAUUUGGGCAAUGGGUGAAAGCCUGACCCAGCAACGCCGCGUGAAGGAUGAAGUAUUUCGGUAUGUAAACUUCGAAAGAAUAGGAAGAAUU